Molecule: ribosomal RNA, 1500 nt
Filed under: Aeropyrum pernix
Lineage: Archaea; Thermoproteati; Thermoproteota; Thermoprotei; Acidilobales; Acidilobaceae
Description: 16S rRNA
Rfam family: Archaeal small subunit ribosomal RNA
Source: RNAcentral
ACUCCGGUUGAUCCUGCCGGACCCGACCGCUAUCGGGGUAGGGCUAAGCCAUGGGAGUCGAACGCCCCGCCGCUGCGGGGCGUGGCGGACGGCUGAGUAACACGUGGCUAACCUACCCUCGGGACGGGGAUAACCCCUCGGGAAACUGGGGCUAAUCCCCGAUAGGCGGGGGGUGCCUGGAAGGGUCCUCCGCCGAAAGGGGCCGCGGGGGGUUAUCGCCCGCGGUCCGCCCGAGGAUGGGGCUGCGGCCCAUCACGGUAGUUGGCGGGGUAAUGGCCCGCCAAGCCUACGACGGGUAGGGGCCGUGAGAGCGGGAGCCCCCAGAUGGGCACUGAGACAAGGGCCCAGGCCCUACGGGGCGCACCAGGCGCGAAAACUCCGCAAUGCGGGCAACCGUGACGGGGCUACCCCGAGUGCCCCCCUUGGGGGGGCUUUUCCCCGCUGUAAGUAGGCGGGGGAAUAAGCGGGGGGCAAGACUGGUGUCAGCCGCCGCGGUAAUACCAGCCCCGCGAGCGGUCGGGGUGCUUACUGGGCCUAAAGCGCCCGUAGCCGGCUCGACAAGUCCCCGCCUAAAGCCCCGGGCUCAACCCGGGGAGUGGCGGGGAUACUGUCGGGCUAGGGGGCGGGAGAGGCCGAGGGUACUCCCGGGGUAGGGGCGAAAUCCAUUAAUCCCGGGAGGACCACCAGUGGCGAAGGCGCUCGGCUGGAACGCGCCCGACGGUGAGGGGCGAAAGCCGGGGGAGCGAACCGGAUUAGAUACCCGGGUAGUCCCGGCUGUAAACGAUGCGGGCUAGGUGUUGGGCGGGCGUGCGAGCCCGCCCAGUGCCGCAGGGAAGCCGUUAAGCCCGCCGCCUGGGGAGUACGGCCGCAAGGCUGAAACUUAAAGGAAUUGGCGGGGGAGCACCACAAGGGGUGGAGCCUGCGGCUUAAUUGGAGUCAACGCCGGGAACCUCCACCGGGGGCGACAGCAGGAUGACGGCCAGGCUGAAGGCCUUGCCCGACGCGCUGAGGGGAGGUGCAUGGCCGUCGCCAGCUCGUGCCGUGAGGUGUCCUGUUAAGUCAGGCAACGAGCGAGACCCCCGCCCCUAGUUGCCAUCCCCGGGGCGACCCGGGGGGCACACUAGGGGGACUGCCGCCGCUAAGGCGGAGGAAGGAGGGGGCAACGGCAGGUCAGCAUGCCCCUAAACCCCCGGGCUGCACGCGGGCUACAAUGGCGGGGACAGCGGGUGCCGACCCCGAAAGGGGGAGGCAAUCCCUCAAACCCCGCCUCAGUUGGGAUCGAGGGCUGCAACUCGCCCUCGUGAACGUGGAAUCCCUAGUAACCGCGCGUCAUCAUCGCGCGGUGAAUACGUCCCUGCUCCUUGCACACACUGCCCGUCGCUCCACCCGAGGGGGGAGGGGGUGAGGCCCUCUCCGCCGGGAGGGGGUCGAACCCCCUCCCCCCGAGGGGGGAGAAGUCGUAACAAGGUAGCCGUAGGGGAACCUGCGGCUGGAUCACCU